This 347-nucleotide unclassified non-coding RNA is filed under the name soil metagenome. RNAcentral's name for it is "partial contains 5.8S ribosomal RNA, internal transcribed spacer 2, and large subunit ribosomal RNA". The stretch from base 1 to 120 matches the Rfam family "5.8S ribosomal RNA", at positions 35 to 154 of the family's 154-position model. The record is from RNAcentral.
GAUGAAGAACGUAGCUAAAUGCGAUAAGUAAUGUGAAUUGCAUAAUUCAGUGAAUCAUCGAGUCUUUGAACGCACAUUGCGCCCCCUGGUAUUCCGGGGGGCAUGCCUGUCCGAGCGUCAUUGCUGCCCUCAAGCACGGCUUGUGUGUUGGGCCGUCGUCCCCCUCCUAGGGGACGGGCCCGAAAGGCAGCGGCGGCACCGCGUCCGGUCCUCGAGCGUAUGGGGCUUCGUCACCCGCUCCGUAGGCCCGGCCGGCGCUUGCCGACGACCAUCAAUCUCUUUCUCCAGGUUGACCUCGGAUCAGGUAGGGAUACCCGCUGAACUUAAGCAUAUCAAUAAGCGGAGGA